This 449-nucleotide ribosomal RNA is filed under the name uncultured bacterium. RNAcentral describes it as "partial 16S ribosomal RNA". It matches the Rfam family "Bacterial small subunit ribosomal RNA", at positions 29 to 523 of the family's 1533-position model. The record is from RNAcentral.
AACGAACGCUGGCGGCAGGCCUAACACAUGCAAGUCGAACGCUGUAGCAAUACAGAGUGGCAGACGGGUGAGUAACGCGUGGGAACCUUCCCAAUGGUACGGAAUAGCUCAGGGAAACUUGAGGUAAUACCGUAUAAGCCCCUAGGGGGAAAGAUUUAUCGCCAUUGGAUGGGCCCGCGUCGGAUUAGCUAGUUGGUGAGGUAAUGGCUCACCAAGGCGACGAUCCGUAGCUGGUUUGAGAGAAUGACCAGCCACACUGGGACUGAGACACGGCCCAGACUCCUACGGGAGGCAGCAGUGGGGAAUCUUGGACAAUGGGCGAAAGCCUGAUCCAGCCAUGCCGCGUGAGUGACGAAGGCCUUAGGGUUGUAAAGCUCUUUUGCCGGGGACGAUAAUGACGGUACCCGGAGAAUAAGUCCCGGCUAACUUCGUGCCAGCCGCCGCGGUAA